GACGAACGCUGGCGGCGUGCCUAAUACAUGCAAGUAGAACGCACAGUUUAUACCGUAGCUUGCUACACCAUAGACUGUGAGUUGCGAACGGGUGAGUAACGCGUAGGUAACCUGCCUGGUAGCGGGGGAUAACUAUUGGAAACGAUAGCUAAUAUCGCAUAAUAUUAAUUAUUGCAUGAUAAUUAAUUGAAAGGUGCAAUUGCACCACUACCAGAUGGACCUGCGUUGUAUUAGCUAGUAGGUGAGGUAACGGCUGACCUAGGCGACGAUACAUAGCCGAACGGAGAGGGUGGUCGGCCAAACUGGGACUGGGACACGGCCCAGACCCCUACGGGAGGCAGCAGUAGGGAAACUUCGGCAAUGGGCGAAAGUCUGACCGGGCAACGCCGCGGGAGUGAAGAAGGUUUUCGGGUCGUAAAGCUCUGUUGUAAGGGAAGAACGGGUGUGAGAGUGGAAAGUUCACACUGUGACGGUAUCUUACCAGAAAGGGACGGCUAACUACGUG
Molecule: ribosomal RNA, 505 nt
Filed under: uncultured bacterium
Lineage: Bacteria
Description: partial 16S ribosomal RNA
Rfam family: Bacterial small subunit ribosomal RNA
Source: RNAcentral